RNAcentral lists this unclassified non-coding RNA (220 nucleotides) under Hevea brasiliensis (rubber tree). The record is from RNAcentral. Lineage: Eukaryota; Viridiplantae; Streptophyta; Magnoliopsida; Malpighiales; Euphorbiaceae.
UAAUCUUUGCAUUUAGUAGAAAGGUGUUAGGAUUUUCAUUUGUCCACUUUUGGAUAAGUUAUUUUGUAGGUGAAUUGAGAUGUAUGUUUCAAUACCUAAUAUGCUUCCAAAUUUAUAACUAAUAAUAGCUUUGUAUUCCUCCCAGAAUUUCCAUUCAGUUUCCACUUCUAGUGGUAUUUGUGCUUAGAGCAUAUGAAUAACUUGCGUGUGUAUACAGUGA